RNAcentral lists this non-coding RNA (72 nucleotides) under Thermoactinomyces sp. CICC 10521. Lineage: Bacteria; Bacillati; Bacillota; Bacilli; Caryophanales; Thermoactinomycetaceae. The record is from RNAcentral.
AGUCGAAACUGGGGGACUAUUGCCCCUAGUCUGACGGGGAUGGCCUCCCGUCACUGAUGAUGACAGGCCAUA